RNAcentral lists this long non-coding RNA (400 nucleotides) under Monodelphis domestica (gray short-tailed opossum). RNAcentral's name for it is "lncRNA (ENSMODG00000049011.1)". Lineage: Eukaryota; Metazoa; Chordata; Mammalia; Didelphimorphia; Didelphidae. The record is from RNAcentral.
AUGCAUCUCGCCUGGCUAAGUCCAGACUCAGGUCAAAGGCUGGCAUUUGCCCUGUGUUUCCCUUUCUUCUUUUUUCCAGGCAUCUGUAAACUGAAGAUAGACAGAAUGAGAUGCUCUGUUGCCAGUGUACUAUGCUGCUUCCUUUUAUAUGGACUGAGUCAAGAUGGGAUCUUGUACGGAGGGAGCAGCAAUGUUACCUGGUGUGGAUGCAGAUGCUUUGAAAAGAAUCUUGUACAGUUUAGAGUUAAUUAGUAGACGUUCAAAGUUCUUUUACAAGGGUUCUUGAUCUUCUUUGUAUCAUGUUCCCUUCUGUCAAUAUGGUGGAAACUAUGUACUUCUCAGAAUAAUGUUUUGAAAUGCAUAAAAUAAAGUCCAUGGCAUUAUAAAGGAAACUAAAGGU